UACGUAGGUGGCAAGCGUUACUCGGAAUCACUAGGCGUAAAGCGCAGGUAGGCGGUUCGGUCAGUCUCUUGUGAAAGCUCCCGGCUCAACUGGGAGAGGUCAAGGGAAACUACCGGGCUAGAGUGUGGCAGAGGAAGCUGGAAUUCCCGGUGUAGCGGUGAAAUGCGUAGAGAUCGGGAGGAAUACCUAUGGCGAAAGCAGGCUUCUGGGCCGUCACUGACGCUGAUCUGCGAAAGCUAGGGGAGCAAACAGG
Molecule: ribosomal RNA, 253 nt
Filed under: uncultured bacterium
Lineage: Bacteria
Description: partial 16S ribosomal RNA
Rfam family: Bacterial small subunit ribosomal RNA
Source: RNAcentral